RNAcentral lists this long non-coding RNA (266 nucleotides) under Manihot esculenta (cassava). Its description in RNAcentral is "long non-coding RNA (MESC_LNC009983)". Lineage: Eukaryota; Viridiplantae; Streptophyta; Magnoliopsida; Malpighiales; Euphorbiaceae. The record is from RNAcentral.
AAUCCCAUACAUGAACAUACAUUUUCAUUAAAAAAUUCAAACUUUUUAUAUUUCAAGCUCGACCUGUACAUUCAUCAUAAAGUGUAAACAUAAAACCCACACUAGAGCCCUCAUCAAAUGCUCUAGUAUGGUUAACAUCAUAUACAUCAAGCUUGGAUCAACAUAACUCGUUUUUAAACUUUUACAUUAAACAUGUUCACUGGGAUUCAUUAAAAGCAUAAACUAGGGCAAAGCACAAAUCUAUCCAUUUCAUAUUACAUGUCCAC